RNAcentral lists this ribosomal RNA (506 nucleotides) under Harrya chromipes. RNAcentral's name for it is "SSU rRNA". It matches the Rfam family "Bacterial small subunit ribosomal RNA", at positions 470 to 962 of the family's 1533-position model. Lineage: Eukaryota; Fungi; Basidiomycota; Agaricomycetes; Boletales; Boletaceae. The record is from RNAcentral.
UGAUAUUAUCUUACUAUUAGUGUCGUCUAAAUUUGGUGCCAGAAGACUCGGUAAGACCUUAGACGCAAACGUUAAUCGUCAUAAUCAGGCGUAAAGGGUGUGUAGGCGGCUUUAAAAAGAUAUAAUUAAGGAUAUAAUUAUUAUAGCUAACAAAAAUUAUAUUUGAAUAAAAGCUAGAAUCUAAAAGAGGGUAAGCUAAACAACAUAAUUAAUUGGGACUGACAACUUAUAAUAAUGUGGAGUACUAAAGGUUAAAGCUAUUUAUCUACUUAAGAUUGACGCUCAGAAACGAAGGGGAGAAUAAGAAACUUAGAUUAGAGACCUAAUUAUCUCUCUCAGUCAACGAUGAAUGGUAGUUAUUAAAAAAAAUAAAAUUAUAUUAUUAGUAACGAGGUUAACACGAUGACCAUUCCGCCUUGUUAGUAAGACUGCAAAGUUGAAAACAAAAAAAUUAGUCGGUCUUGAAGCAAACGAAGUGAAGCAUGUUAUUUAAUUCGAUAAUCCGC